AAUUCGAUUUGAGUUUGAUCAUGGCUCAGAACGAACGUUAGCGGCGCGCCUAACACAUGCAAGUCGCACGAGAAAGGGCUUCGGCCCCGGUACAGUGGCGCACGGGUGAGUAACACGUGGGUAAUCUGCCUUCGAGCGGGGGAUAACAUUCCGAAAGGAGUGCUAAUACCGCAUAAGACCACGCCCUCGAAAGAGGAAGCGGUCAAAGCUGACCUCUAUACAUAAGUUAGCACUUGAAGAUGAGCCCGCGGAGCAUCAGCUAGUUGGUGAGGUAAUGGCUCACCAAGGCUUAGACGCUUAGCUGGUCUGAGAGGAUGAUCAGCCACACUGGAACUGAGACACGGUCCAGACUCCUACGGGAGGCAGCAGUGGGGAAUCUUGCGCAAUGGGCGAAAGCCUGACGCAGCGACGCCGCGUGAGUGAUGAAGGCCUUCGGGUUGUAAAGCUCUGUGGGGAGAGAAGAAUAAGUGCGGGCUAAUACUCCGCAUGAUGACGGUAUCUCCUUAGCAAGCACCGGCUAACUCUGUGCCAGCAGCCGCGGUAAGACAGAGGGUGCAAACGUUGUUCGGAAUUACUGGGCGUAAAGCGAGUGUAGGCGGUUUGGUAAGUCGGAUGUGAAAGCCCCGGGCUCAACCCGGGAAGUGCACUCGAUACUGCCAAGCUAGAGUAUCGGAGAGGUUGGUGGAAUUCUCGGUGUAGAGGUGAAAUUCGUAGAUAUCGAGAGGAACACCGGUGGCGAAGGCGGCCA
Molecule: ribosomal RNA, 748 nt
Filed under: uncultured bacterium
Lineage: Bacteria
Description: bacterial SSU rRNA
Rfam family: Bacterial small subunit ribosomal RNA
Source: RNAcentral